UGAAUAUGAGGUAGAUGUGUGUAAUAAAGUGAUGUGAGAGUUGAAUAUGAGGUAGAUGUGUGUAAUAAAGUGAUGUGAGAGUUGAAUGUGAGGUAGAUGUUUGUAAUAAAGUGAUGUGAGAGUUGAAUAUGAGGUAGAUGUUUGUAAUAAAGUGAUGUGAGAGUUGAAUAUGAGGUAGAUGUUUGUAAUAAAGUGAUGUGAGAGUUGAAUAUGAGGUAGAUGUGUGUAAUAAAGUGAUCUGAGAGUUGAAUAUGAGGUAGAUGUGUGUAAUAAAGUGAUCUGAGAGUUGAAUAUGAGGUAGAUGUUUGUAAUAAAGUGAUCUGAGAGUUGAAUAUGAGGUAGAUGUUUGUAAUAAAGUGAUCUGAGAGUUGAAUAUGAGGUAGAUGUGUGUAAUAAAGUGAUCUGAGGGUUGAAUAUGAGGUAGAUGUUUGUAAUAAAGUGAUCUGAGGGUUGAAUAUGAGGUAGAUGUGUGUAAUAAAGUGAUCUGAGAGUUGAAUAUGAGGUAGAUGUUUAUAAUAAAGUGAUCUGAGAGUUGAAUGUAAGGUAGAUGUGUGUAAUAAAGUGAUCUGAGAGUUGAAUAUGAGGUAGAUGUUUGUAAUAAAGUGAUCUGAGGGUUGAAUAUGAGGUAGAUGUGUGUAAUAAAGUGAUCUGAGGGUUGAAUAUGAGGUAGAUGUUUGUAAUAAAGUGAUGUGAGAGUUGAAUAUGAGGUAGAUGUUUGUAAUAAAGUGAUCUGAGAGUUGAAUGUGAGGUAGAUGUGUGUAAUAAAGUGAUGUGAGAGUUGAAUAUGAGGUAGAUGUUUGUAAUAAAGUGAUGUGAGAGUUGAAUAUGAGGUAGAUGUUUGUAAUAAAGUGAUCUGAGAGUUGAAUAUGAGGUAGAUGUGUGUAAUAAAGUGAUGUGAGAGUUGAAUAUGAGGUAGAUGUGUGUAAUAAAGUGAUCUGAGAGUUGAAUAUGAGGUAGAUGUGUGUAAUAAAGUGAUCUGAGAGUUGAAUAUGAGGUAGAUGAUUGUAAUAAAGUGAUCUGAGAGUUGAAUGUGAGGUAGAUGUGUGUAAUAAAGUGAUCUGAGAGUUGAAUGUGAGGUAGAUGUGUGUAAUAAAGUGAUCUGAGAGUUGAAUAUGAGGUAGAUGUGUGUAAUAAAGUGAUGUGAGAGUUGAGUAUGAGGUAGAUGUUUGUAAUAAAGUGAUCUGAGAGUUGAAUAUGAGGUAGAUGUUUGUAAUAAAGUGAUCUGAGAGUUGAAUAUGAGGUAGAUGUGUGUAAUAAAGUGAUCUGAGAGUUGAAUGUGAGGUAGAUGUUUGUAAUAAAGUGAUGUGAGAGUUGAAUAUGAGGUAGAUGUUUGUAAUAAAGUGAUCUGAGAGUUGAAUAUGAGGUAGAUGUUUGUAAUAAAGUGAUCUGAGAGUUGAAUAUGAGGUAGAUGUGUGUAAUAAAGUGAUCUGAGAGUUGAAUGUGAGGUAGAUGUUUGUAAUAAAGUGAUGUGAGAGUUGAAUAUGAGGUAGAUGUUUGUAAUAAAGUGAUGUGAGAGUUGAAUAUGAGGUAGAUGUGUGUAAUAAAGUGAUCUGAGAGUUGAAUAUGAGGUAGAUGUGUGUAAUAAAGUGAUCUGAGAGUUGAAUAUGAGGUAGAUGUGUGUAAUAAAGUGAUCUGAGAGUUGAAUAUGAGGUAGAUGUUUGUAAUAAAGUGAUGUGAGAGUUGAAUAUGAGGUAGAUGUUUGUAAUAAAGUGAUGUGAGAGUUGAAUAUGAGGUAGAUGUGUGUAAUAAAGUGAUCUGAGAGUUGAAUAUGAGGUAGAUGUGUGUAAUAAAGUGAUCUGAGAGUUGAAUAUGAGGUAGAUGUGUGUAAUAAAGUGAUCUGAGAGUUGAAUAUAAGGUAGAUGUGUGUAAUAAAGUGAUCUGAGAGUUGAAUGUGAGGUAGAUGUGUGUAAUAAAGUGAU
Long non-coding RNA from Astyanax mexicanus (Mexican tetra), 1919 nucleotides. RefSeq lists it as uncharacterized. The record is from RefSeq and is a predicted model, not a curated record. NCBI's taxonomy places the organism in Eukaryota, Metazoa, Chordata, Actinopteri, Characiformes, Acestrorhamphidae. The transcript is spliced from 3 exons.